UUGGGUGAAGCUCAGUGGUAGAGUGCAUGCCUGGUAUGCACAAGGCCACAGGUUCAAUCUCUAGUCUCCUAAA
RNAcentral lists this transfer RNA (73 nucleotides) under Heterocephalus glaber (naked mole-rat). It matches the Rfam family "tRNA". Rfam says of the family: Transfer RNA (tRNA) molecules are approximately 80 nucleotides in length. Their secondary structure includes four short double-helical elements and three loops (D, anti-codon, and T loops). Lineage: Eukaryota; Metazoa; Chordata; Mammalia; Rodentia; Bathyergidae. The record is from Rfam by way of RNAcentral.